UGACCUCAAAUCAGGUAGGACUACCCGCUGAACUUAAGCAUAUCAAUAAGCGGAGGAAAAGAAACUAACAAGGAUUCCCCUAGUAACUGCGAGUGAAGCGGGAAAAGCUCAAAUUUAAAAUCUGGCAGUCUGACUGUCCGAGUUGUAAUCUAGAGAAGCGUCAUCCGCGCUGGACCGUGUACAAGUCUCCUGGAAUGGAGCGUCAUAGAGGGUGAGAAUCCCGUCUUUGACACGGACUGCCAGGGCUUUGUGAUGCGCUCUCAAAGAGUCGAGUUGUUUGGGAAUGCAGCUCAAAAUGGGUGGUAAAUUCCAUCUAAAGCUAAAUAUUGGCGAGAGACCGAUAGCGAACAAGUACCGUGAGGGAAAGAUGAAAAGAACUUUGGAAAGAGAGUUAAACAGUACGUGAAAUUGCUGAAAGGGAAACGCUUGAAGUCAGUCGCGUUGACUAGGGAUCAACCUUGCUUUUGCUUGGUGUACUUUCUGGUUAACGGGUCAGCAUCAGUUUUGAUUAUUGGAAAAAGAUCAAGGGAAUGUGGCAUCUUCGGAUGUGUUAUAGCCCUUGGUUGCAUACAAUGAUUGGGAUUGAGGAACUCAGCACGCCGCAAGGCCGGGUUUUUAACCACGUACGUGCUUAGGAUGCU
This 641-nucleotide ribosomal RNA is filed under the name Thaxterogaster pinophilus. RNAcentral's name for it is "eukaryotic LSU rRNA". It matches the Rfam family "Eukaryotic large subunit ribosomal RNA", at positions 1 to 627 of the family's 3401-position model. Lineage: Eukaryota; Fungi; Basidiomycota; Agaricomycetes; Agaricales; Cortinariaceae. The record is from RNAcentral.